RNAcentral lists this ribosomal RNA (429 nucleotides) under Chloroflexota bacterium. RNAcentral describes it as "Chloroflexi bacterium partial 16S ribosomal RNA". It matches the Rfam family "Bacterial small subunit ribosomal RNA", at positions 355 to 776 of the family's 1533-position model. The record is from RNAcentral. Lineage: Bacteria; Bacillati; Chloroflexota.
UGGGGAAUAUUGCACAAUGGGCGCAAGCCUGAUGCAGCCAUGCCGCGUGUAUGAAGAAGGCCUUCGGGUUGUAAAGUACUUUCAGCGGGGAGGAAGGGAGUAAAGUUAAUACCUUUACUCAUUGACGUUACCCGCAGAAGAAGCACCGGCUAACUCCGUGCCAGCAGCCGCGGUAAUACGGAGGGUGCAAGCGUUAUUCGGAAUUACUGGGCGUAAAGCGCACGCAGGCGGUUUGUUAAGCCAGAUGUGAAAUCCCCGGGCUCAACCUGGGAACUGCAUCUGAUACUGGCAAGCUUGGGUCUCGUAGAGGGGGGUAGAAUUCCAGGUGUAGCGGUGAAAUGCGUAGAGAUCUGGAGGAAUACCGGUGGCGAAGGCGGCCCCCUGGACGAAGACUGACGCUCAGGUGCGAAAGCGUGGGGAGCAAACAGG